Molecule: ribosomal RNA, 462 nt
Filed under: uncultured bacterium
Lineage: Bacteria
Description: partial 16S ribosomal RNA
Rfam family: Bacterial small subunit ribosomal RNA
Source: RNAcentral
GAUAAACGCUGGCGGCGUGCUUAACACAUGCAAGUCGAACGAAGUUUUUCCUUCGGGAGAAACUUAGUGGCGGACGGGUGAGUAACGCGUGGGUAACCUGCCCUGUACAGGGGGACAACAGCUGUAAACGGCUGCUAAUACCGCAUAAGCCCUUAGCACUGCAUGGUGCAUAGGGAAAAGGAGCAAUCCGGUACAGGAUGGACCCGCGUCUGAUUAGCCAGUUGGCAGGGUAACGGCCUACCAAAGCGACGAUCAGUAGCCGAUCUGAGAGGAUGUACGGCCACAUUGGGACUGAGACACGGCCCAGACUCCUACGAGAGGCAGCAGUGGGGAAUAUUGCACAAUGGAGGAAACUCUGAUGCAGCGACGCCGCGUGAGUGAAGAAGUAUUUCGGUAUGUAAAGCUCUAUCAGCAGGGAAGAAAAUGACGGUACCUGACUAAGAAGCACCGGCUAAAUACGUG